RNAcentral lists this long non-coding RNA (359 nucleotides) under Homo sapiens (human). RNAcentral's name for it is "long non-coding RNA NONHSAT117354.2". The record is from RNAcentral. Lineage: Eukaryota; Metazoa; Chordata; Mammalia; Primates; Hominidae.
UCUAUAAGGACAGGCAGAAAUUCUCAGAACAGGUUUUCAAAGUGGCCUCCUCAGACCUGGUCAACAUGGGCAUCAGUGUGGUUAGCUACACUCUGAAGGACAUUCACGAUGACCAGGUAAAACUAGGCAAUUGAUCCUUCCCCACUUCCUUGCUCCCAUCUCUUAAGCCCUCCAAAGGACUAAUUUCUACAUCUCUCCCACAGGACUAUUUGCACUCUUUGGGGAAGGCUCGAACAGCUCAAGUCCAAAAAGAUGCACGGAUUGGAGAAGCAGAGGCCAAGAGAGAUGCUGGGAUCCGGGAAGCUAAAGCCAAGCAGGAAAAGGUGUCUGCUCAGUACCUGAGUGAGAUCGAGAUGGCC